This 478-nucleotide ribosomal RNA is filed under the name uncultured bacterium. RNAcentral describes it as "bacterial SSU rRNA". It matches the Rfam family "Bacterial small subunit ribosomal RNA", at positions 24 to 518 of the family's 1533-position model. The record is from RNAcentral.
UCAGGACGAACGCUGGCGGCGUGCCUAACACAUGCAAGUCGAGCGAGGAGAUCCUUCGGGAUGAUCCUAGCGGCGGACGGGUGAGUAACACGUGGGCAACCUGCCUCAUAGAGAGGAAUAGCCUUCCGAAAGGGAGAUUAAUACCUCAUAACAUUGCAGUUUCGCAUGGAACAGCAAUUAAAGGAGUAAUCCGCUAUGAGAUGGGCCCCGCGGCGCAUUAGCUAGUUGGUGAGGUAACGGCUCACCAAGGCGACGAUGCGUAGCCGACCUGAGAGGGUGAUCGGCCACAUUGGGACUGAGACACGGCCCAGACUCCUACGGGAGGCAGCAGUGGGGAAUAUUGCACAAUGGGGGAAACCCUGAUGCAAGCAACGCCGCGUGAGUGAUGACGGCCUUCGGGUUGUAAAGCUCUGUCUUCAGGGACGAUAAUGACGGUACCUGAGGAGGAAGCCACGGCUAACUACGUGCCAGCAGCCGC